This 72-nucleotide transfer RNA is filed under the name Rhizoctonia solani. RNAcentral's name for it is "tRNA-Pro". It matches the Rfam family "tRNA". From Rfam's summary of the family: Transfer RNA (tRNA) molecules are approximately 80 nucleotides in length. Their secondary structure includes four short double-helical elements and three loops (D, anti-codon, and T loops). Lineage: Eukaryota; Fungi; Basidiomycota; Agaricomycetes; Cantharellales; Ceratobasidiaceae. The record is from RNAcentral. RNAcentral also lists the same sequence under 2 other names.
GCCUCAGUGGUCUAGUAGUAUGAUUCGCCCUUCGGGUGGGUGAGGUCCUGGGUUCAAUUCCCAGCUGGGGCC